This is a long non-coding RNA of Loxodonta africana (African savanna elephant), 41207 nucleotides long. RefSeq lists it as uncharacterized. Lineage: Eukaryota; Metazoa; Chordata; Mammalia; Proboscidea; Elephantidae. The record is from RefSeq and is a predicted model, not a curated record. The transcript has 2 exons.
UUUUUUUUUUUUUUAAAUUCACUAACCUUUUUUGAGGCUGGCCCUCUAUAAUCUGCCGAGGACUUAAUUUUAUUACUACUCCAUUGUAGUAUCACCUGUCUGAUGAUAAGGACUUUAAGCAACCCAAUCAAGAAUGUUACUAUAAAGAUGAUGAAAAAUAUUCUUAAAUAGCUUGGGCUAGAGAAACAUUCUGUAAUGAAGCAAACAAACAAAUGGAUUAAAACAUUAGAAUCAGUAAACCAAAGGAUUAUACAAGUAAACCACAGUCACCAUCCCAUUUAAUGUGACCACAGAUAGUUGCAAAUCUAUAUUUUCAAAACAGGGGAUUGCCAUGAUUGUUGAUUCAAAAAGUAAACAUUCUAAUUUUUAUUGUACAUUUAUUAUUAAAACAUUUUCAACAGAAAACCCUCCUUUGGAGAACAGCUACCAUUAAGGCAUUUGGUAAGAUUAUCUCUCUGCAGCCCAAUUCUUUAAUUAUUUUAACUGGAAUAUGUAUAAAAUCUUAACUGAACAUAAUUCUAUCUAAGAAAAAGGGGCAGAUUUCGUGUGCACUGCUGAUCACUAUGUAGCAAAUGGAAUUUAGUUAUAUAUAUAUAUAUAUAUAUAAAAAAUAUAUAUAUAUAUAGUAACAGCUCUGGGCAUUAGCAUAUACUUCUCUGGUUAUGCUCUAUUCAUUUGUUGUACACCAGUAGUGGAGAAGAAACAUCUGCAGAAGCUAAAAUCAGUACUGCUCUAACUCUAAUAGAUGAGUAAAUAUUUCCUUUGAAACCACAGUGCACAUUGUCAUUAUUACUCCACAUGGCCACUCCAGGAUCUAGGAGUAUCCGACUUGGGACAAAACACAAAUCCUCUCAAUUUUUAUUAAUUUACUUUUACUUGCCCGUUAGCCAAAUCUAUUCUAUUUUGCGUUUAAAAACUCCACUGUGUAUUCUUUCAAAGAACAAAUCACUACGAGCUGGUAAAAGAAAUGCUGUGUGCAGAGGAGGGGCAGGCUAGGUCUCUGUUUUAGCCCCAAACUUUUGGCAAAAUUUACCUGGAAAAUCUACAGGGCUCUGCUGCUAGAGGCACUCUCCUCAUUUAAAUAGAACAUGAUUGCACAAUUCACAAGUAUUCCACAGAACUCAUCAGCUGCUUCAGACUCACAAAAUCCCCUCCUGGCCUGAAGAGUCAUGGGUUCCUCCACUCACUUCCCAGGCCCUGGGGACCUCCCUUAAAUGUAUGAAGAUCUCCUUGAAGGGUUCUCUAGGGAGGGACCCCACCAAGGCUUAGAGUAGCAUGUCACUUGAUCAUAAGUGAUUUGGAUCUGAAUCCCCAAGAAUGGCCAACUAUGUUGUCACAUAAGCCAAGAACAGUAACGAGGGCAAGGGAUUCUCCCCAAGGGGGGAGAGUUAUGGUAAUAGAGCCCAGUUGGCUUUUGGUCAGUGAUAUAGUUCCUUGAAAGAAAGGUGCAAGGGAGGUCUUGGCAUCUUCCACAGCGACUUUCAGGUUCAUACACUGACACAGAUGCCUUGCAUCCUGACAGACUGUGUCAUUUCCUUUGGCUGACUUAGAACGACUCAAUCAGCUAAAACAGAUCCUCAGAGAGGACAUGUGGGCGAUUCCACUUACUGGCUUCUAGCUGGGUGGGAGCUUAGCCAGAAAGAUCAAAAGAAUGCCCCUUAAGAGUGAUUGAGUGGAUGGCUAAUAGAAGUGGCUAACAUGUGCCCAUCUCUCCUUGCACAACAGUUACAAAGGGGAGGGGAGCUCCCUAGUGACUAAUACGUUUUAGAACUAUUUCUAAAGGGUUAGGAUAGGGGACACUUUCAGGGCUCGAAUCUGUGCACAUUUUUAAUGUUGCCAUUGUUUUUAGGUGCCGUCAAGUCAGUUCAGACUCAUGGCAACCCCAAGCACAACAGAAGGGAGCACUGCCCGGUCCUGCUCCAUCCUCACAAACAUUCCUAUGUUUAAGCCCCCUGUUUUAGCCACUGUGUCAAUGCAUCUUGUUGAGAGUCUUCCUCUUUUUCGUUGACCCUCUUUGACCCUCUACUUUACCAAGCAUGAGGUCCUUCUCCAAGACAGGUCGCGCCUGAUAGUAUGUGCAAAGAAUGUGAGAUGAAGUCUUGCCAUCCUUGCUUCUAAGGAGCAUUCUGGCUGUACUUCUUCCAAGAGAUUUAUUCAUUCUUCUGGCAGUCCAUGGUAUACUCAAUAUUCUUCGCCAACACCAUAAUUCAAAGGCAUCAAUUCUUCUUGGGUUUUCCUUAUUCAUUGUCCAGCUUUCGAAUGCGAUUGAAAACACACUGAUACAUUUUAGAAAUAUUUCUAAAGCGUUAGCCUAGAGAACACUUUCAGGGCUCAAAUUUGUGCACAUUUUUAAUGUUGUUACUGAUGGCUAAACAUUUAACCAUAGUUCAUGCCUCUUUUCUUGACACAGGUCAGGCAAAGGCCUUUACUAAGGAACUUUAAGGGAAUACUUUUGUAACAACACUUACGUAAGAGUAGGCUUGUUUACUUAACAUAAUAAAUGACAUGUUGAUAGUAAGGGCCCUAUUUAUUAGAAAAGGCACUUGGCUUUCUGUAGUGAUUGCUGUAGUCCCAGCUGGCUGCACCUGGGGCUCUAUUCAGAGCCAAAUUCAUUACGGUCUAAGCUCAGUGUGAAUAUGAGGGAAAAAGGAAAGAAAACUUUGAGGAAAGUUUAUUCUUCUGUGCAGUCUACCUAAGAGCUGAAGUUAUUCUUACAGGUUGGAGGAAAGACUUGAAAUAAUAAUAGCGGUAGUCAUGUUUUCAACUAAGACAAAACUUCAAGCUUAAUUUCUAAUUCAGGUAUAGUUCAAUAAGCCCAUUGAAAAGUGGGCUGCUGGCUUUUUGGGUUCUAAUGAACUUUGUCUAAAAACAGUCUAUGAGCAUAGCUGUCACAUGUUUCCCUGACUUACAUGUCACCUUAGAGUUCACAUACUUCCUUCAUGUUCACUGGUUCCUUGACUCUCUCACAUGCCCCUUUGGGGUUGGUAUUAUUUUCUCUGUCCCUGGGUGGUGCAAAUCUGUUCAGCUGCUAACUGAAAGGUUGGAGGUUCUCAGUCCACCCAGAGGCACCUCGGAAGAAAGGCCUGGUGAUCUAUUUCUGAAAAAUCAGCCACUGAAAGCCCUAUAGAGCACAGUUCUACACUGACACGCAUGCGGUCACCAUGAGUUGAAAUCCACUUGAUGGCAAUUGGCUUUUUAAAAAUUAUUAUCUCCACUUUACAGAUGAGGAAACUGAGGUUCAAAGAACUUUUGUAGGAGGGCAAAUAUUUCUUAACUAAUACUGUUAACGGAGAAGCCAAGUCAGGGUCUUCAGACUACAAGUUCCAUACUUUUUCUACUGUGCCACAUUUAUAACUAUUCACCCCUAAACUGUAUUUAUAUCCAAAUAAAAAUGUUCUAGGAAAAAGGGGCCCUUUGAAGUUAUAUAUUUUUCAGUAGCAGAUUAUUGCUACUUAGAAUCUUUUGCCUUCCAGUGAAGCAGGAAAGUAAAUGUUGGUUUCAAAUGAGGGUGGUCAGAUCUUGAAACAAGUUUAGGUUACGAAGGAAUAUUAUGGCUCCAGUGAUUUGUCUGUAAUGUCAAAAUGGCUCUACGUGGGGAACUCAUAUUCUUGGCUCCCUGAGGCCUCUUGAGUCAACCUGUCUGGAUGCUCUUGCAUGGAGGCACAUGGCAUGGGAAUUUAGCUGCAUAAUUAAGAUGGAAGACCUAACAACUCAGCUGAGCCAUGGCAAGCAUACUUAAGUUAUUUAGAGUACCAUCUUUGGGAGAUUUAAAAAAUUGAAGCAGCUAGUCAAUUUUUUUUUUUUUUUUUUUUUGCGGGGAGGGGGAGCCCUAGUGAUGCAGUGGUUAAGGCACUCAGAUGCCAGUGGAAAGGCUGGUGGUUUGAACUUACCAGCUGCUCCCUGGGAGAAAGAUGUGGAAGUCUGCUUUCAUAAAGAUUUACAGCCUUGGAAACUGUGUGAGGGCAGUUAGUUCUACUUUGUCCUAUAAGGUCGCUUAGAGUUGGAAUCAACAAGAUGGCAGUUGGGUUUUGGUUGAGUCCAUUUUUUAUAAUGGUUAAUUAUGGAUCUUUUUUGGGGAAUGGGUUCUACGACAGAUACUCUUCAGUGCUUUGAUUAUUAAACUUUGGUUUACCUGGUGUUUGGUCCACAGAAUGGUGUUCCAUGAGAGCACACGAGGAUUUACACUGAUCAAGUAUAGCUUGAGAGAGAUUGUGAGGGUGAAGGCAUUGCACACAAUUCCUGUAAGGGGGAAACAGAGGUAGAAAACAUUUAUGCUUUAAAAACGUUGCAGCCUGUAAUAUUUUUCAGAGAGAAAUAAAAUAAUAAAAUAAACUACUUCUUUAGGACAACAGCCUUAUAAAACUGGGAAAGAAAGCUAUGCAAUUUAUUUUAAUAUAGAAAAUCCAAAUAAUAACUUCACUGUAUUGAGAAUAAAAUACCUAGGAAAUGAAUUAAGAUACUCUUACCACGAAUUAAUUAGUUAAUUGUAUUUGAUGUUUUAGAAGAUUAAUAUUAUGAUACUACUAGAAAAAUUCAUCAAUGAUAAAAAGUUCAAACUCGUCAGGUUUAUUAGAAAUAACUUCAUAAUGUUUUAGUACUGUACUUUAAAAUGAAUUAAAUAAAUUACUAUACAUAAUUAAAAAAAUUACUUGAGGUACCAAUCUGAGAAAGUUAAAUGCCUUUAAAAAACUGAUUAACACAAAUUGGAAGCCACAGUGAUGUUUAGAGUGGUGGUUUGUAUUUGAACAGAUGGAAGCUGUUACUGGAAUAUCUGUUAUUGACACAAAAUUAUAAUGUCACCGUUUAACAUAUGGCCUUUCAUUUAUAUAUCACUUAUUCCUAGAGUGCUUCAGCUGCCAUCAUUCUUUAUCUUUAAAAAAAAAAAAAAAAACCCAAACCCACUGCUGUCAAGUUGAUUCUGACUCACAGCGACCCUACAGGACAGAAUAGAACUGCCUCAUAGGGUUUCCAAGGAGCAGCUGGUGGAUUUGAACUGCCGAUCUUUUGGUUACUGGCUGUAGCUUGCUGUAGCUCUUAACCACUGUGUCACCAGCGUUCCCAAAUGAUUACUAUGCACCAAGUACAGAGGAUUUUUUUUUUAAAAACUUGGAUCAUUUAGUUUAAUUCGUUAACUGAACUGAAGUGAGAUAUUAUUAUCCUCACUUUUCAUACGAGGAGACUGAGGCACAGAGAAUUUCAACAACUUGCCCUAGGACACACAGCUAAUUCACAGAAAGCUUCAGAGCAGUCAGCCCCUAAUUUUAAAAGUGCUAUUUCAAAACAGCUAAGGUAAUGACUGCCUACAUAAAUUGUGAUGCUCUCACAACUAUCUAGUGGUCAAAGAUUAGAACCCAUGUCUCUUAAUUCCUAAAACUCUCCAUUCAAUUCUUUCUUAGUAAGGUGAUACAAUUUUAUCUGAAGGAAAAGACCCAGAAACUUCCAAGAUUUAGGAAGGCGGAACAUGAAAGGACCAACAAAACUAUUAGGGAGGUAUGCUUCACAUAUGUUUGGCAGCAGAGAAAACGUACCAGUUUUCAUUGCACGCUGUAUUACACGAGGGGCAGUGUUCACAGAAACGGCCGAUGCUCCUGGGAUCGGUACACUCGCACCUGCCGCACACACAGGUGCCUCUCCCGCUGCAUACUUGGCCCUUUGAGUUGACACAGUGUUGGGCUGAUGCCGACGGGCACUGGCACCAAUCCCCCUCCCAGCCACUGUGGCACUGACAUCUGCCAGCUUCACACUCUCCAUGACCUGCAACAGAGACACCCCAGGACCUAAAUUAUAGGGGCCACCGACUUUGUAGAGUUUCCAAACAUGCAUUCCCUCUGGUCUCCAUGAAAACACACUGCGAAUGGAAGUAGCAUUAUGUUCUACUUGCCUGACAUAAACAAUCACCAGGCUUUACAAGUGUCUAUGGUCCAAGCUGUUCUAAUGUAGAUAAUCUCCUGAUGCUAAUAGACUGUGCUGACAACUGUGAAGUCAGCCCCUGCUGCGGUUGCUGCCUGGCUACUUGAACAUCACUGUACACUGUUUUAAAUUAAAAACACACAAGUAUAAAGAAGCUACAGAGGGUGCUGUAAUGUUAAUUGUCUGACUUGAAAUAAAAAAAAUAAGGGCAUGCAAAUGAUGGCUUCCAUAAUUCACUCUUUCCAUAAUUUAAGUCUUUUGUUAUCGCUGAGGCCUGGGAUAAUUUUGAAGACCAUGAGGUUCCAGUUCUGUGUCAUGUUUAAAGAAAAGGUAUCCAGUAAAGUUGACAAAUCCUCUCAGCUGCCCAGUACAUUAUUUAUAAGGUUGCUGGAGCACGUCAUAAUGUGUGCGAUGAGCUGUUAUUAGGUGCUAAAUGGGAAAGAGAUAGCAGGGUGUUGAUGGGGGAUGUUUAUGUGGUCAAAUAAGUUGUGGAAACAUUGGUUAAAUGACAUAUUUACAUGGAUUUUAGGCUGCAGGAAGUGUCCAAACUUUGAUAUGCUAAUGUGAAUUAUAAAUCUUCAACGGGGGGACAAUUGCAGGGUUAUACAGUGCUUGUCAAGUUUAUCUGGCCACAGGCCUCAUUGCCUCCCUGCUUACUUCCCUUCCUCCAUCUCUCUCUUCUUUUCUUCCCUCCCUUUCUUCCCAUCCUUCCCUCAGCCUCUCCUUCACUCCCUUUACUGCUGAGCACCUCACAGGGUAAUUAUUCCGUGCAAUCUAUUGUUGGAUUCAGUUCAAUUUGCUAAAGUGUUUAACUAAUGAGGACCAAGCCAAACAAAUGUAUGCCAGGCCUGUGUUCCUAAUCCUAGCCAGCUGACCUGCAAACCUGGGCUUUUAGUCCCAAAAGAGAUUAGUGGAGAAAAACGUGGGUCAGUAUUACAGUUUGCCACUUACACACAAAAAAUUCAAAGCAGAGUCUCAACUCACUAGUAUUAUAGUUGUACAGAGUGACCACACAUUGAUUUUGUUGAUAUUUCGCCCUAAACAGAGACUGGGAUUCUCAAUGUAUUUCAAAUUUCAUUGAGAAGUUGACAGCAAGGGGCAAUGCUCUCAGAAUUAUUUUCUUUCUCAUCCCAAAUGGGAUUAGCUCCAAAAAAUAGCAGACAAUUGUUGAUUUGUUGUAAAGUCAUCUAUAAUCCAUUUUACCUAUGAUACCAGGUACAGUUGAAUAAAUGUUUGGGUCACAAAUCACUCUCUGUAGAUAACAGAAUAAGAAGACAACUUGCCAUCACGUACUUAGGUAUGUGUGGUACAGGCCAAAGUUUUAGCUUAUGCAAGAAUAGAAAAUUUAUUUUUUAUAGGUUUGUUACUUUCCAUUAACUCAUGACAAUGAAAAUAUUUCAGUUCUUUAAUAAUGAAAUCAAUACUUGUUUAGUUAAAUACAAACACUACAGAGGUGUUUUCACAAUCCAUGGAUUUAGCACCUUGUCAAGAGAAAUGUUAUCACAGAAUUGUGAUGACAGCCAGUUCAUUUAAUUCAUUUAAAAACAAUAAAAACCAAAAAACCAAACCCACUGCCAUCAAGUUGAUUCCAACUCAUAGCGACUCUAUAGGACAGAGUAGAAUUGCCCCAUAGAGUUUCCAAGGAGCUCCUAGUGGAUUCGAACUGCCAACCUCUUGGUUAGCAGCCAUAACACUUAACCACUAUACCACCAGGGUUUCCAUGCAUUUUAUAUUAAUUUUCAAAUGUUGCAGAUUUUCUGAAAUCUAACCUCUAGGUGGCAGUAAACCUAAUUAGCCAAAAGUAAUCAUGUUAUUUUAAUUUAUUUCAUUUUUAUUUAGUCUGUGUGUAGCCUCAGCCUUAUCUUUUAGAUUUCUUGCUUAAUUAGUAUUUUCUUGAAGAAUAUUGUCCUUUGGCAAUUCUGUUGCUGACGGUGUUCCAAAAAUAAACUGGAGAGGUUUGAAUUACUAUGAACUUACAACAUCAUAUAUAAUAAUGCAUUUAGAAUUUUCCCAUGAGUGAAAAAUAUUUUUUAUAGAUCAUUUUCCAUCAUCCUGAAAGAAAUAAAAGCCUCGAACGAGCUGGAGCGAGAGAGCAUCUAUCAUAAUGAAUCAGAUCCUUCUGGAGAAAUACAUCAAUUACAAGAAACCUAUCAGUCAUCACCGGUGCUGGUGUGUUGGCUCCGACUCAUGGUGACCUUGUGUAUAGCACAACAAGAUGCUGCCUGGUCCUGCACUGUCUUCACAAUCAUUGGGUUCUGUGAGUUCAUUGUUGCAGCCAUUAUUUAGUGCCUUCCAAGCUAGGGGGUUAAUUUCCAGCACUAUAUUGGACAAUAUUCUGUUGUGAUCUGUAAGUUUUUCCUUUUACUAAUUUUGGAAAUGAACAGCCAGGUCUUUCUUCCUAGUCUGUCUUAGUCUGGAAGUUACACUGAAACUUGUCCACCAUGUGUGACCCUGCUGGUAUUUGGAAUACCGGUGGCAUAGCUUCCAGUAUCAUAGCAACACGCAAGCCAUUACAAUACGACAGACAGGUGGUGGUCAAACACUUCAGGCUAUCAUAAAAGCUAUAAUGGCUGAUUGAUUGACGACUGUAAGGUAAACUCCUGGGAGGCCAUUUCUAUACUGUAGGCGUGAGAGUUACCUACCAGAUCUGGUCCUAUAAAAUGCCCCCAAGAAUGGCUGAGGAUUUUUGCCAAGUCCCUUGGGCUUGUUUGCCAUGAUCAAAUUUGGUCCAAACCUUAAUAUCAAAUAUGACCUCUCACUGGGCAGGAAAUCAUUUAUUCAUUUAUUCAGUAAUUUAUAUAUAUCCAUUCACUAAACAUCCCUAAAAUGCCUAGGAUGUAUUAGGCACACACUAAUUUCUUCCAUCACAACCUGCAAGUUCCAAAAGACUGAGCUACCUUCAAUAUAUGCUACAGAACUGUUUGUGUUUUGUCCUGUAAAACUAAGAGUCUACCACAUGCAAAAGUUCUUAACUUAUACUUGUAAGCAAAACGAAGGGGAAAUAAGUAUGUACCUAAGGAAAGAGAAUGAAUAGCAGAGGAUGAAGGAAAAAUAAUUUCCAAUGGUUUCUAAUUCCUUACUUAUAUAAUUUCUGUUCUUCAAAAGCAUAAUCCACAAAGAGCCAUGUGCUUAAAUAUUAUUCAUUGAUAACAGAAUUAUGAAAGUAAAUAUUUUGAACAAGUAUUUUCCUUAAAUUUAUGAAUUAUAUUUGGAUUAAACUGGAUGAUGUCAACUACAUUUUUUUAUCUCCCAGAUGGCUUAGUAUACUUGAACCAUUUAAUUGAAUAAUUUCUGCAAACCAAUAGAAAUGUCCAAUGGGAUACAAAUACUGCUGAUAUGGUGAUGGUGUUACAGGUCAGAGGAGUCCCUGGGGAAUGAAAAUGGUUAACGUGCUUAGCUGCUAACUGAAAGGUUGGGGGUUUGAGUCCACCCAGAGCACCUCAGAAGAUGGGCUUGGCAAUCUACUUCCAAAAAAAUCAGCCACUGAAAUCCCUGUGGAGCACAGUUACAUUCUGACGGUCAUGGGGUCACCACUGAGUUAGAAUCAAAUCCAUGGUAAUUGGUAGUAGCAGCAGUGGUAGUAGCAGUAGUAUGUCAGGUCAGGAGGAAAUACCUAACCCGAGGAGCGUCUUCAGCUUGCCCUUCUGAAAUUCUGCUUUUCUUAAGACCUUAAGCUGGUUAAGGCCAAUGUUUUUCGAGCAGAGUGUGAAGACAAAUCUCUAAAAAUUUUGCCAGGCUGGGAUAUAGAAAUUAAAUUCCAGACACAAUCUUAAGCUUCUUUUCACUAUUUAACAGUACAGGAGAAGAAAUACGUUUUUCUGUUGUAGAAUUCUUUAAUGAAUUUUGAACUGUUUUUGUUGGGCUGUGACAAAAUGAAAAUUUCAGAAGACUUUUGAAAAUAUAUAAAAAACAAUAACAAAAUCCCAACCAAAAGAGAUUUUAGUUAGCCAGAGUAAAUUUUUGUUGGACUUAGUAGUAUCUUUUAAUUGCUUAAGUUUAAUCAGAACUCUGAUGGGCUAAGGCAUCACAUAUGUAUUCUAGACAAAUAAAGAAGUCAAAUGGAACUGUCUCAAGAAACUUCCUUCCCAUUGAGGCUGCCUGACACACAGUAAAAUUUGUUAAUUUAUAUACCUUGCUUGGGGCAAUGAGUGGGUUCAUAAUUUCACAAUUUAGGGAGACUUCUAACACUGUAAGCUCCUUCCUACCUGUGCUUAUUCUUGGGAACAAACUACUGAGGAGAAUGAAUUACAUUCACGUACAAAUUUUGCUUGAUAAGCUGUCCUAAUAAAGAAAUGUCACUUAAGAUGCUCCUUAUUUCACCCAAUGUAGUUUUCUGACAUAGAAAAAUUCCUGGGCAAAAAAAAUUGAGUAAGAUUUAUUUUUUCUUUUAAAAGCAAAAAGUUUAAACAAGCUCUUCAUUUUCUAUUCUCUGUCUACUUCCUUCCUUUCCCAUUUGUACCCAAGUUCAAGGCACGUGCUGCCUGGAGAAAAUUAAAGGAGAAGCCUGAGGUUUUUCGUGACGCUUUGGCUAUUAUUGCACUAUUAAACACUACUACUCUGUCAGGAACAGAAUCAGAGAGAAUUUUGGGAAGUGAGACUUUACCAACCCGUGCUGUUGAGUUGAUUCCGACUCACAGAGACCCUAUAUGACAGAGUAGAACUGCCCCAUAGAGUUUCCAAGGAGUGCCUGGUGGGUUUGAACUGCUGACUUUUGCUUUGCAGCCAUAGCUCUCAACCACUACACCACCAGGGUUUCCGGGACUUUACCAGCAUCCCAUAAAUUCAAGGUAGAAAAACGCACAUCUUUCGGCACCAUGUUAAAAAAAAAAAGAUGGUAUCACAAAGGAGGAAACACCUGCGUUCUGGAGUUCUGAAACAUCUGGGUUGCACUCCUGCUUCUAAGUAAAUUGCUUAAUUUCUCUUACCGUCUGUUUCUGCAAAUACACAAUGGGAGUAACAACACCUGCCUUCUAAGUCCGCUGUGACAAUUAAAUAAGGUCAUGUGUGGAAAGGCGCUGGUUCUUGGCAGAGUUAAUGUGAUGAGUCAUUAUUUUUACAACAUCUUCACAGAGAUAAUCUAUUCCAGCUGUGAUACAGGUGGAGCUAGCAGAUGUCUUUAAAUUCUUUGCUUUUAUGUAUCCCCUGUUCAUAAGACUGGUGACAGCAUAUGACUGCUAAUUCAAUAAAAUAGUAUAUCUAUUGAGGUGAUUUUAAAAAUCAAACUAGUUUGAUAAACUGCUAAGAUAACUGAUUGAUCAAUUAAGUGUUUGGCCUAGAAGCCCCCGACAGAGUCCCCCUAGUAAUCUAUAUUGCCCAGAUAGUUCCUCUUCUCUACUUGUUUCUUUAAAUAACAAUGUGGAUUUCUUACUUUAUCGUUAUGAUUUGGGAGAUUAUGAAAUGUCUUAGUUAAGAGGUAUAUUAUAUAGUUAUGAUUGGGGGAUUCACUGAGCAUUGGGAAGGGAAUUUAGGUAGCUUUCAGCCCAACCUGAGUUUAUCGUCAAUGAUAUAACAGAGCAGAGAAAGGUGGAAUGACUUUGCCAAAACAUCAUGACUAACGAGUAGCAGGAAAAAUAAAUAAAUAAAUAAAGCCAAACCCACUGCUGUCAAGUUGAUUCCAGCUCAUAGUGACCCUGUAGGGCAGAGCAGAAUUUCCCCGUAGGAUUUUCAAGGCUGUAGUCUUUAUGGAAGAAGACUUCCACAUCUAUCUCCCAUGGAGUGGCAGGUGGAUUUGAACCACUUUCUGUUAGCGGCCCAGCACUUAACCACUGUGCCACCAGGGCUCCUUGUGAGUGGCAGAAUGAGGGAUAAACUCUAGGUUCCUGGUUCCUAAUCUAAUGUUCUUUCCACCACUCCUCUCAAGAUGAUAUGGCACUAGUUUGCACUCUGCCACAUGAAAUUGGAGUUAAAAGUUUAUUUUUUAAAAAAACUGUGUAUAAUAUGUACAUACCUGAUAGGCGUCUACUACCAAAUUAUUGAGGUUUGCAGCCUUUGAUUCUAUUUGACCAGCGAUGGUGCCAGGCAAGAGUGGUAGAAGAUCCUAUAAAACAUAUCAAUUAUGUUUACAUAAUGACAAGAGUAUACUAUGGUUCACCAAUCAAUAAAUAUCAAAUAUUUUUAUAGGGAUGAGUAAAAGGUGAGACAUUAAACAAUUAAAAAAUAUAAGAAAUAAGAAAUAUAUAAGCAACCUAGAGCAGCUAAAGCAUAUACAUUUGAAAUGGUAGUGUGUGCUGUGUAUGUAUGUGCAGGGAUGUGUAUGUGUGUGCACGAAUUGCAUGCUGAUCUAAAAUCUAAUUAAACUACAGACCAGCAUCUCCCAAAGUCUCUUCCAUGGAACAUAGCCCCAAGAGAUUUUAAACAUAAAAAGCCUUCUGAAGGCAAAUAGGUUUGGGAACUUCUGCAUAUGUUUUCUUCCAUUAAGAGACUCCAAAUGCAUAUUUGCAUACUAAAGGUUCUGAGAAGUCCCGCAAUUUGGAAGUAAUUUAACGUUAUUUAAUGAAGCAUUUCCCAACACUUCAUUGAUUACAGAAUACAUUUCUCACAUUAUAUAUAUAUGUAUGUGUAUAUAUAUAUAUAUACACUUUUUUAAAGGACUACUGUCUAUGGAUUGAUCUUUAGGAUGUAUUGGCGUAAAUCAGAGGAAAUGUCAUAAUAACUAGAAGAAGCUUCAUGAACAGGUGUUCUUGAUGGAUGAUGGCACCAAAUAAUUACAGAGAAGACUCUAAGCAUUCCUAGGGGGAAAAUGAGAAUGAAUGAAGGUACAAAGAUUUAUCUGAGUUGUAGAUGAAAUAACAGAACAAACAAGAGUGACUACAGUGAAGCAUAUGUACUUAUAAGGAAUCAGAUUAUGAAAAGUCUUGCAAUCCAUCUAUUCACUCAUUUUACCCUUCAUCCAAAAAAACCAAACCAGUUGCCAUCAAGUUGAUUUCAACUCAUGGUGGCCCCAUGCGUUACAGAGUAGAACUAAGCUUCAUACGGUUUUCUUGGCUGUAAUCUUUAUGGAAGCAGAUUGCCAGGACUUUCUUCUCUGGAGUUGCUAGGUGGAUUCAAACUGCCAACCUUUCAGUUAGCAGCCAAGUGCAAACCAUUUGUGUCACUCAGGGACCUAUUAGCCACUAACAAUUUGAUAUCUUGGUAAUAAGGAAAAUAUAUCACUUAUAGAUUAAAAAAAAAUUUUUUUUUUAAUCAAACCCUUAUUGGAGAUGCUUAACUGCUAGAUAACACAGUUUUCAUCCUUCAAGAUCUCACAAGUAUUUAAAUGACAAUUUCACAAAACAAAGUAGACAUAUGAACAGAUCCUAAUGAGAUAGCAAGAAUUUGAGGGGCUGGUGAAGUUGUCUGGGAUGUUUUCUUGCCAGAGACAACUCAUGAGCUUUGACUUAAGGGUGAGUAAGGGGUCCCCGGUGUCAAAAAUGGUGAAGUGCUUGACUACUAGCCAGAAAUUUGGUGAUUUGAACCAGCUCAAAGGCAGCUCAGGUGACAGGCCCGGAGAGCUGUUUCAGAAAGGCCACAGCCUUGAAAAUCCUCCGGAGCAGUUCUACACUGUAUACAUGCAGUCACUGUGAAUCGGAACUGACUUGACAACAACUAACAACAACAAAUAGUCCCUGAAUGGUGCAAAUGGUUAACUAGGCUUGGCCACUAACUGAAAAGUCGGUGGUCCAAGUCUACCCAUAGUCAUCUCAGAAGAGGGCCUUGGCAAUCCACUUCUGAAAAAAUCAGCCACUAAAAACCCUAUGGGGAAAAAGAAAAGAAAACCCUAUGGAGCACAGUUCUACUCUGACACUCAUGGGGUCACCAUGAGCUGGAAUCAAUUCAAUGGCACUUGGUGUUUAAGAGUUAACUGGGUAAUGAGGGUGAAAGGCAUCCAGGCGUGGGAGGCAGGAAGAAAGAAGAAAGGCACAGAGGAAAGAAACAGCUUGGAGGGUGUGUGUGUAAUGGAAUAUUACAGGCAUCUUUGGAGGGACAAGUGAAAGGCAGGGAAUAGUGGGGGAUGAAGCCAGAGAGGUAAGCAGGGGUCAGAUGGGUUCAUAUGCUACAUUACGGGCUUGAUCCUCUAAGUCAGGGAACCACUGGAGUAUUUUAAGCGAUAGAGUACUGGGGUCACACCUGUGAUUUAAAUAGAUCAUUCUGGCAGCCAGGUGGAGAAUAGAUUUGGGAGAUUUGCUAGUAGGCUGUUACAACCUAGAUAAAAGGUGACUAAUAAAAAAGAUCUCUGGGCAGCAAUAUUCCUGGACAUAUACAGGAAUUGUAACACAGCUUGUCAGGUUUCUAGAGCCUGUUAAUCCUUACUUUGCACACAAUGCAAAUAAUAAUAAACCCAAUUUUAUGAUUUAUCAGUCAGUGGCAAAUUUUAAAAAGGGGUAGAGAGAAACUACCAGAGUUAAUAACAUCUUUAAGAAUAAUAAACAGCAGAAAAAAACAAAGGCAAAAAUCUACAAGAAGUGGCCCAAAAUUUUGAGUCUAUUAUUACGUUUAGAGGUUAAGAGCACAGAAUUUGAGUUGCUAGGAAAUUCUGGGCAAGUAUUUAAAGUCCCUAAAUGUGCUUACUCAUCUUUAAAAGGGCAUAGUAUAUCCCACUACUCCUCUGUCAGUUUGUUGUACUGUAGUGACUUGCAUGUUGCUGUGAUGCUGGAAGCUAAGCCACUGGUAUUUUAGGGUCACCCUGUGUGACAGGUUUCAGCAGAGCUUCCAGAUUAAGAAAGAUGAGGAAGAUGGACCUGGUGAUCUACUUCUAAAAAAUUGGCCAGUGAAAACCUUAUGAAUAGCAAUGUAACACUGUCUGAUAUAGUGCUGGAGGAUGAGCCCUUCAGGUUGGAAGGUGCUUAAAAUAUGACUAGGGAAGAGCUGCCUCCUCAAAGUAAAGUCGACCUUUGUGACAUGGAUGGAGAAAAGUUUUUGGGACCUUCAUGUGCUGAUGUGGCAUGACUCAAAAUGACAAGAAACAGCUGCAAAUAUCUAUUAAUAAUCAGAAUGUGGAAUGUACAAAGUAUGAAUCUAAGAAAAUUAGAAGUUGUAAAAAAUGGAAUGCUUGAAGAUAGAUAUUCUAGGCAUUAGUGAGCUGAAAUGGACUAGUGUUGGUCAUUAUGAAUUGGACAAUCACAUAGUCUAUUGUACAUAGGGUCACUUUGAGUUGGAACUGACUCAAUAGCACCUAACAACAAUAACAACAACAACAAUCAUAUGUUCUACUAUGCUGGGAAUGACAAAUUGAAGAGAAACAGUGUCGUAUACAUUGUCAAAAGAACAUUUAAAGAUCUAUCCUGAAGUACAACGCUGUCAGUGAUAGAAUAAUAUUCACAUGCCUACAAGGAAGGCCAGUUAAUAAGACCAUUAUUCAAAUUUACACACCAACCACUAAUGCCAAAGAUGAAGAAACUGAAGAUUUUUAUCAACUUCUGCAGUCUGAAAUUGAUCGACAUGUAAUCAAGUAGAUACAUUGAUAAUUACUGGUGAUUGGAAUGCAAAAGCUGGAAACACAGAAGAAGGAUCAGUAGUUGGAAAAUAUGGCCUUGGUGAUAGAAGUGAUGCCAGAGAUCACAUGAUAGGAUUUUGCAAGACUAACAAUCCAUUUAUUGGAAAUACCUUUUUUCAACAACAUAAAUGGUGACUGUACACGUGGACCUUGCCAGAUGGAAUACACAGGAAUCAAAUCGAUUACAUCUGUGGAAAGAGAUGAUGCAGAAGCUCAAUAUCAUCAAUCAGAAUAAGACCAGGGGCCGACUGUGGAACAGACCAUCAAUUGCUCGUGUGCAAAUUCAAGGUAGAGCUGAAAAAAAUUAAAACAAGUCCACGAGUGUGAAAGUACAAGCUUGAGUAUGUCCCACCUGAUUUAGAGACCAUCUCAAGAUUAGAUUUGAUGCAUUGAACACUAAUGACCAAAGAUGAGUUGUGGGAUGACAUACAUGAAAAAAGCAAAAGGUCAUUAAAGACACAGGGAAGAAAGAAAAGACCAAAAUGGAUGUCAGAAGAGACUCUGAAACUUGCCUUUGAACAUAGAGUAGCUAAAGAGAAUAGAGGCAAUGAUGUAGUAAAGGAGUUGAACAGAAGAUUUCAAAAGGCAGCUUGAGAAGACAAAGUAAAUUAUUAUAACGAAAUGUGCAAAGAAUUGGAGUUAGAAAAUCAAAACGGAAGAACAUGCUCAGCUUUCUCGAGCUGAAAGAACUGAAGAAAAAAUUCAAGCCCUGACUUGCAUUAUUGAAGGAUUCUAUGGCAAAACAUUGAACAACACGGGAAGCAUCAAAAGAUGAGGGAAGGAGUACACAGAGUCACUGUAUCAAAAUGAAUUGGUCAAUGUUCAAACAUUCCAGGAAGUAGCAUAUGAUCAAGAGCCGAUGGUAGUGAAGGAAGAAGUCCAAGCUGCACUGAAAGCAUUGAUGAAAAACAAGGCCCCAGGAAUUGACGGAAUACCAAUUGGGAUGUUUCCACAAACAGACGGGAAGCACACACUCGUCUAUACCAAGAAAUCUGAAAGGCAGCUACCUGUCCAAUGGACUAGAAGAGAUCCAUAUUUGUGUCCAUUCCAAACAAAGGUGAUCUAACAGAAUGUGGAUAUUAUCAAACAGUAUCAAUAUCACAGACAAGUAAAAACUUCUGAAGAUAAUUCAGAAAUGGUUGCAGCAGUACACUGACAGGAACUGCCAAAAAUUCAAGCCAGAAUCAGAAGAGGACAUGGAACAAGGGAUAUCACAGCUGAUGUGAGAUGGACAUUGGCUAAAAGCAGAGAAUACCAGAAAGAUGUUUACCUGUGUUUUAUACUAUGCAAAUGCAUUUGACCGUGUAGAUCAUAACAAAUUAUGGAUAACAUUGUGAAGAAUGGAAAUUCCAGAACGCUUCAUUGCACUCAUGCGGAAUGUAUACAUAGACCAAGAGGCAGUUGUUUGAGCAGAACAAGGGGAUACUGUGGGUGGUUUAAAAUCAGAAAAGAUGUACGUCAGGGUUGUAUCCUUUCACCAUACGUACUCAGUCUUAUGCUGAGCAUAUAAUCCAAGAAGCUGGACUAUAUGAAGAACAGGGCACCAGGGUUGAAGGAAGACUAACAACCUGUGAUAUGCAGAUGACAUAACUUUGCUUGUUUCUUUAUGGUACAACCUAGGCCACAUCUAGGUAUGUUGCUGCUAUUGAAAAUUAAGAUGAUAUUCCCCAACCUUAACCAGUUUAUUAGGACACACCCAAGGAUCAGUGUAUAAACAAAGCCACUGGACUGAAAGGUGUAGGAAUAGAGCAUGAACUAGUUUUCACCUGAUAAAAGUCUUCUCCAUUAUCUUAAACGUCAGUACCACCUUGAGUACCAGUCUGUGCCCCUGCAUAAUGAAUAUGAUUCUCAAAGAGCAUUUAGUGUCCACACUUGGUUCAAGGUGCUAAAGAAACAGAUGAAAUUUAUACUUCAUAUUACAUACAUCAGUCGGUGCAAUAUUAAAUUUAGAUAGUACAACAAAGGACAAUAACUCUACAAUUCUUAUCUAUGCUGCUAAGAACUGUCCAGAUUUCACCUAUCAAUGUUAACAUUUUAAUCUUUGUGUUUUGGGAGUGAACAUACCUUAUACCAAUGAAACUGUUUCCCCUGAACUGCAAAAAUGACAUUGAUGUUGUUGUCUAUUAAUUUUUCUGAAAGUUGGCCUAGUGAGGGAUGUUCCUGUAACAGAUAAUGAAAUAAAGAAGGAGGUCAAAUUCCACACAUAUCCAAACAUCUAUUAUUAAGAAAACCAUAUGACAUACUUAAAAAUGUACUUUCUUGGGAAGUUUUAUGGGUUACCUAAAAAACCAAAACCCACUGCCGUCGAGUCAAUUCCGACUCAUAGCAAUCCUAUAGGGCACAGUAGAACUGCCCCAUAGAGUUUCCAAGAAGCGCCUGGUGGAUUUGAACUGCCACCGUAGCACUUAACCACUACGCCACUAGGGUUUCCAUGGUUUAUCUUUUUUUUUUUUCUAGUGGAGGCACUUAAAUUCUUUAAAAAAAAUUACUAUAGAGAUUUCAUAGUUACGAGCGCCAGAAAAACCUAUAACUUGGAGGGGGGGAAGGCAGAAUUCAACAUAGUACCAUGUUCAGAUUUCUUUAGAUAAACAUCAGCAUCAAAGUAACAUAACUGAAAAAUAAUGUAAUUGUUAGAAAUAAAGACACCCUGUACUUGAAUGUCAGAUUUGCCACUUGACAAUAAAAAUUCUACCUCAGUUCCAUCCUCUGUAAGAUGGGACUGAUAUCAUCUACCUUGCGUGACUGCUGGGAAGAUUAAGAAGACAAAGAUAGUAUAUGUGAAUUAUUUAGUAUAGUUCUUUGCAUGUAGUUGUUGCUGUUGUUGUUGGGUGCCUUUGAGUGACCCAACUCAGACUCACAGUGACCCCAUGUGAAAGUGUAGGACUAGCCUGUAGGGUUUUCUUGGCUGUAAUUUUUACAAAAGCAGAUUGCUGGGUUUUUCUCCCACAGAACCACUGGGUGGGUUUGAACUGCCAAUCUUUUGGUUAGCAGCUGAGUGCUUAACCACUGUACCACAAGGGCUCCUUUUGCAUAUAGUAGGUAUUCUAAAAUAAUAGCAAUUAUUUUGAUUUUUAUUUCUAACUGCUUCUACAAUGUAUAGGUUAUAGAUAUUUCAAUUUAUUAUUACACUUAAUCUUUUUGUCCUAUGACAUAGUAUAAGCUUGUUUUACUCCAAUAAAUAAAAUUUAUGUACAGCCAACUAUGACAUACUUUGUGGUAACGAGAAAGCUGGUUUGAACAGGGAGGGGGAAUGAAAUUUAGUUUAGAAAAUAUGAGAAACUUGGCAACUACGGAAAUUGCUAUCUAAAGUUAGAGGUAAUACUCUUUUUUUAUUUCUAUAAACGCUCUUCUACAAAUUAAAGUGAUGGUCUCAAAAAACAACUUCUCAGAUUAUGCCAAGCUUCACCUUCAGAAUGUCUGAGCCUAUUCAUUGGUUCCUAACUCCAUUAAGCAAGGACUAAUCAAUUAGAACUGAUCCUAAUUAGUAUCAUCUGAUUGAAGUUCAAAUUCCUCUGUGGUUUUUGCUCUUCCUUUCACCCUCCAAUGCUAAUUGUUUUCUUUAAGGACAAAUUUUACCAAACCAUCUUGGGUAACAUUUCUGUGCUUUGGCAAUUAUGUGAACUUAGUAAAAAGGUUAAAUUUACUAGUUUCACUUUACAGCCUAAUUUCUGUGGCCCACAUAUUAAGCUUACAAACACCGAGAUAAGAUUUUAUAUGUGCUUACUAGUUUAUAUUAAUCAUUAAUGUAAGUAAGCAUAACAAAUACCCUUUUUUAUUUCUAUGAUAAUCUUUAAUGUCAUAAGAGAAACAAACCAAAUUUUCACAAACUGCAUUUAAAUUCAAUAUGAAAGUAAUUUAUGACUUGGGUUUGUAUAACAAAAAAUCCUGCCCAGAACAGUUUUUAAAAAUAUAGUCCUCUUAAAAUAAAAUAGAAUUAUAAAUUCUACCAGCCAUAUUCUUCUGCCUUGUUCCUAAAAAUGUAUAUAAUCUAAAAAUAGGUUUAUGAUAGUUUAUAUGGUUUCAGUAAAUUAAGGAGAACAAGUAAAGGAAGGGUAUUAGGAAUUUUUUUUUCUAAUGGCAGCAACUGCUUUUCACAUGCUUUUGCUUCGACAAAAAGUAAUUGCAGUGUGCCAAGCACUCCUCCCUCUUAAUUUUAAAAACCAUUCAUAUUUUAAGGAAAAUUUAAUCCAUAUGUUUGUAACCAGCUUAUACUUAACUUAUCAUAAAACUGGUUUUUUAAAGAACGAUCCAAAACACAAGCAUUAUUAAUCCCUUUCCUCCUUUCAAAAACAGGAAGUCACAUUGACCAAAAGUACAUAAAAUUAAACUCUAGAAAGUUCUUGUUUGGCCAGAAGCUCAUUAAGAAGGUCAGUUGGAUUUUUAAGCGAAAAGGACAUAUUUUUCUGAACCCUAGAAAGAGAACUGCCUAAAAAAAAUUCCAAGAACCCAGAAGUAGAUUUUUAAAAUUACAAACUUACAACAGAUGUUUAAAUAAACCACUGUUGACAGCAGAGCUGUGGAUUAAUGGCCACUGCUGGCACCCCUCCCCCUUUCCACCGUGAAGUGCAUUAUCUUUUAAGUGUUUUAUCUUUUAUGUCUUCUACUUCACCAGCAGGAGCACACACUCCCUCAGCCAGCUGGUCUGCUCUGGUGAUGUCACUGCUCUUUCAACCCAACUCCCCCUCUUUCUUCAUUACAUAUUGUUUCUCUAAACUCUGAAAAUAAUUAAUAGUGAUAACAGACAUUUCAGGGGCAAAAGGGAGAACUGAACGAAAUGUACUAAGACAGCUGCUAAGUAAUUAAGGCCAAAGGGAUUCCUUUUUCAUUUUUCUUCUUCACUGACACCUUCUCUGUGACCUGUGGGAAGUCACUUGUAAAUGUCAGAAAGGAAGAGGAGGUAAGAAAGAUUCAUCGGGAGCAAUUUCGGUCAGAGAGAUAACUCUGCAGGGAUGUGUGCCCACGCGUAGGUGGAGAAGAAAGACAUGUUUAAAUUCAGGCUCCUCAAGAAAUGAGAUUCACAAAAAAAAAAUUAUUAGAAAUUUCAUGAAUACCAUCCUAAGAACCAAAAAAAUUUUUUUCAUGGGGUAAUCGAAAUACUCAAUUAUCUGAAUUUUUUUUUUUUCAUUUCACUUCUUAGAGAAGAGGCAAAUAACAUAAAAAACACCUGAUAGCAGAGAUUUAUUUGGAGAUGAAAACUUUAAGCAAUGUGCUGUCAGAGCACAUCUAUCCCAAAUGCCUGGUUUAUAUCUACGUGACUGCAAAGUGAUAAUCACUCAGACCAGGUUUUCUCAACUUCAGUACUUGUUGGCACAACAAGUCUUUGUUGUGGGGGCUAUCUUGUGCAUUGUAGAACAUUUAGCUGAAUCCCUGGCCUCUUCCCACUAGACGUCAGUAGCAACCUACCCCCGCCCCCCGACCCCGUCAUGUCAACCAACUAUGUCUCCAGACCCUUCCAAAUGUCUCCAGGGAGCAAAACUGCCUCUCCUUGAGAACAACUUACAUAGUGGCAGUAUAGUAUCAAGAGCAGGGGCUCUGGAGACAGGCAACCUGGGGCUUCAGCUCUUGGCUCUGCAGUUACUAGCUAUGUGACAAUAAGGAAGUGUCUUAACUUCUCUGGCUCCCAGUUUCCGUAUCUAUAAAACAGGUAUGAAUACCAGUAUGCAACUGUCAGUGUUGUGGUGGAGACUAAGUAGCUUGGUCUGAGUAAAGGCUUUCACCUAUCAUUCCGUAAUUAUUAGUCCCAGAUUAGUGGUGAGCAGGGGCUCAUGUCCUGAUGCCACAUUGGUUGGCAUCUAUGUAGACACUUGUGCAUGUGCCUGUGUGACUGCAGACAAGGUUCUGAUCCUUUUAGUGCCUCGGUUUUCUCAAUUAAAAAAUGGAGGUAAUAGCAAUAUAGCAUAGACCAGGGUUUCUCAACUUCAACAUUACUGGCAUUUUGGGCUGGAUAAUUCUUUGAGUUGCUGAGUCGGAACCAACUCAUGGCACCAACAAUAACAAACAACAAUUCUUUGUUGUAGGGGGCUUACUUGGAUAUUUGGUUGGUGUUACAUAAAUGUAAAGAGCUAGACACUACAAGACUGCUUAAUAAAAGACAGAUUUUAGUAAAGACAGUUUAAUAAAAGACAUUCGGAAGCCAUUAGCAAAGGUUACAUGUUAGGGUCUUAGAUAUGCUUUGUGUGACCUGACCUACUUACUUACCCUUCUUGCCUAGUCCCUGAAGGCAUUUGAGCUUGUGGCUCCUGCCAAAUACGAUAUCAACUGUAAUCAUGAUAUUCUGUUUACUGAGAAGAAAACCAAAAAACCAAACCCAGUGUCAUCAAGUCGAGUCCAACUCAUAGCGACCCUAGGGCAUGGACUAAUCAUUUCUGUAAGAUUUUCAACAAAAGUGGCAAUAAAAAGUUUUUGGCUUAAAUAUGAUUUAAUCAAGACAUUAGGACAUUCCAGUUCAUAAAGUUUUCAUCAAAUUUGUUUUUAUUGUGUCAUUUUUUGCAAAUCAUUUUUACUCCUUUGGGAGGCACUAUAAAAGCACUGCCAGGCUACUUGGAGCCUGGUACAGGUGAUUCUGCAUGCAAUUUUUGCUUUCAAUUAAAAAAAAUCAAACAAAACAUUGCUUGCAGAGCAAAUCUCUUUACUAAAAGAUUAAAAUUAUCUCCUUAAAUGGAAUGCUGUCUGAUAUCAGCAUUAAUUAUAAAUGAGUCUCCCAGACUUUGAAGAUGUCAGAAAUAAUUCUUUCUGAUGAAAAGCAACAUUGAAAUAAUUAUAAUAACUUUAUAAAAGUUCAUUAACUCAGGUAGCAGAGUUACAAAUGAAAUCAGUACAGUAUGUUCUUGAACUCUUUCUUCAUCUGUAGUUCUGGAUAAAUUGAAUGUAAUUCCAUGUAAUUGAGACACAUGGUAACAAGAAAGCUUCCCAAAUCAGUCACUAACAAGUACAUGUUAAAGUUAUAUGGGAAGUAGAACAAUAUUGAUUGGUUUUACCCGUGGUUAUAGUUUGGUUAAUAAUGGUUAGUAAUGACUAAUAUGACCUGUAAUUCUGCCUCAGUCAUUUGUGUUGGUUGUUCUAGUCUAGUUGAAAGUCCAAGUAGUCUAUCCAAGGAGCCCUGGUGGCACAAUGGUUAAGAGAUUGGCUGCUAACCAAAAGGUUGGUAUUUGAAUCCAUCCGCUGCUCCUUGGAAACCCUCUGAGGCAGUUCUGCUCUGUCCUAUAGGGUCUCUAAGUCAGAACUGACUUGAUGGCAAUGGGCUUUUUGUUUGUUUGUUUGUUUAGUCUACCCAAAUGAGGUUGAAGGAAAUGCCGUGAACUAUGAAGUCAGCUGUAAGAAAAUUCUAAGGAGGUGUAUAAUAAGAGGAGGGAAGAAUCACUGGCUGUGAUGUUAUGAGGUCAUGCCAGUGACCUCGGUAGAGGUCUGUGUAGAGAAAGAAACAUCACGCCUAAGCUUGUAAGUACAAUUAGGAGUAGGGAGCAGGGUAUGGUCUCCCCAUUUGAAUCUCUUUAUCUAAGACUAAGAAUCAUACUAACACCUGAAAAUCCCAUUAAUAAGGGUUCACUGGAUAUAUAUAUAUAAUAUUUGUUAUAUUAUUAUUAUAUAUUAAUAACAAUAUUUGGUUUUAUAAUUUACAGUUUAUUUUGUCUUUAAGUCAUAAGUAAGACUGCAGCCAAAAAGUUAGACCAGCAAUUUCACCAAGAAUAUCAUUGCUCUAUUUCUUCAAUGUUUCAGUUGAGACACUGUGUGGUAAAGUAGGUGAGAAUAUAGAUUUUGAUAUAAGACUGAACUGGAUGGAGCCCCAGUUCAGCCACUUUUCAGCUUUUUAGCUAUAUGUCCUCAGGUAGUUUACUUAACCCUUCUGACCUUCAAUUUUUCUAUUUAUAAAAAGAGGAUAAUUAUGACUACCUAAUAAUUUUUUUUUUUUAAUAGAGUUAUUAUAUAAAGUUAUUGGAAGGAUAAAUUUGAUACUGUAUCCAAAGUGCUACAGUGUUUUUGGUUAAUAAAUAUUAAAUUUUAAUAAAUAUUAAAUAAUAAAUAUUAAAUUUAAUAAUAAAUAUUAAAUUUAGUAAACAUUAAAAAAAGAGGUAGUUGCUAUUAUUCUGGGAUUCACACUGACCUUCAUGAAAUGGCUAUGCAUACAUGCAGUAGAAUUCUGGUCCAUGUAAUUUAGAAAUAUAAAAGUUCUGUUAUCAACAAUUUUCUUUAAUACAUAAAAUAACCAGAGUCUUGGAUCAAGAAGCUCAGAUACCACUCAACAUUACUUGUAUUGGCUGCUAGAGAUAAGUCAGGAAACAGAGUAUUUGAUUACUUAUACCUAUGCUUGCUUAACUUAAACAGUUUUAAAUUUCUCUGUUACAGCCAAAUAAGAGAGGGAGGACUAAAUAUGCUUAGAGUCAGGGUCAGGGUAGCCUUAGACGUAGAAGAUGCCAGAGCUGUGGCACAUCUUGCGUAUAUAUAAAUGCGUGGUACUGGUUGUCAGUCAAAAUGCUUCAACUUCUUUUGUUUUAAAGCAGUUUUCCCCAAAAUGAAGGGGGUGACCAUUUUUAGAAAGAGGAACCGUUUAAAGUGCACACCUGGGAUAAUGGAAAUAGAAUUAUUCUCCUAAGGUAUUAACAAAUGCAUUGUCCCUCAAUUUACUCAAUAUAUCACACCAGUGGCAUCUGGGAGGUUCAUUCUUUUAAAGAAGUGGAAAAAUGUUCAAGAAGGAAAAUGCAAUUCAUGACAGAUUGUCCAAAUUCCUGGUGUCAUAAGAACCCGGUCAACCACUGCCAAAAUUCCACCAGAUUUAUAAUUUAUUUUCCUAAGAUUCUAUGACAUGAUACAUGUCCAAAAUUAUGAGGCCAUUUCUUUGCUUAAGGAAUACUCCCUAGAUAAGCAACAACUCUCUCUCAAAUAGAAUUAUAGAGGGAUGACUUCAGUGACUUGGCAACACUUCAAAAGAAUAAUGCAAUUUGAGAACAACGUGAUUGUUAUUUUCUUAAAAAAAAAAAAAAGUUUCUCCUGGUCUCACAGUAGAAUGGUUCCUCCUGUCUCUGCCUCUCCUCAAUAAUUAAAUGUGAACUCCACUUCAGAUUAAAAGAGGUUAAAUAGAAGGAAGUUAAUGAUAGGUAUGAAAUGACAAAGCUGGAGUGGAUGGGUCUGCCAAAGGGAAAUGUGGCUGAAUAGGAGGGAAUUAGCAAAUGGAAUGACACUAUAGGGAUAACGCUGAAUCCUACAUUUUUUUCAUUCAAACUCUAAUUACCUUUUAAAAAUCUUUACACUUUGAGAUUGCGUUCAAGAGACUAAACCCACGAAGGUUUGAACGUGUGUUAUGUGAUAUUACAACUGCCCCUCUAGGCUUUCAACAGGUGCUCCAGAUUAACUGUUAAUCUGUUUAAUUUUCACCGGGGAGACAUACAAAUGUCAGUAUCACUUAGAGGCUUCUAACAGCGCAGUUACAAAACUCUGUGCAGAGGUGCCCCAGGCCACCACAGCGAACUCACAAGGGUACCAGGAGGUAUCUUAAAUUUUCAAGGGAAACACAGUCAAACCCAAUAGCUGCCAGGUACCCAUAGCUGGAGGUAGUUCACGGUAUUAACGUUAGAUUCAACUGUAUUUCUUUAGACGAAAUAUAUGCUUGCAAAGCUGAGUUUUUGGAGACUGUUCUGAUAAACAAGGGCAGUGUGGAAAUCAAUGUAGAACAGGAAAUGAGGGUGGUGAUGUCCAAUCUGAUUUCAAGAUGUGGGAAGUUGCCAUUAGUAAGUCAUUACGAGUAUUUAAGGAUGACAUAAAUACACACAUGAACACUCAUAUAUGUGCAUUAUUUUUUUUUAAUGGGCUACUAUAUCGUUAGGACAUAAUAUUUAUUGAAUUAUUUCAACCUAACUACUUAAUAAACAGAAACCCUGGUGGCAUAAUGGUUAAGUGCUACAGCUGCUAACCAAGAGGUGGACAGUUCAAAUCCACCAGGCGCUCCUUGGAAACUCUAUGGGGCAGUUCUACUUUGUCCUAUACAGAAAUCCUAUUUGUCAGUUGGCAGUUCAAAUCUACCAGCCAUUCCCUGGAGACCGAAGGGGCAGUUCUGCUCUAUGCUAUAGAGUUGUUAUGAGUUGGAAUCAACUCGAUGGCUUAAUAAACUUAAUAAACAGAACUGUCAAGCAGUUCUUUUGGUCUACAGGCACUAUGGUAAAAUUGGACACAUUAAGGGCACCAAAACCCAAAAAAGUUUGGAGAUUUCUGUGUCAUAUAUUUGCGUAAAUGUAUAAAUAGGUAUCAGCAUGAGAAACAAAAUGAUGCUUUGUAUAGUUGGUUUUCCACAUCUAGAAUUAGCUAUGUUGAGAAGAUGUGGUUCUGGAAGACUGUAUUUAAGCACAGAGUUAUACCUUACUCUAACCCUCAGGAAGCAAUCCAGAUAUCCACUGAUUUCAAAGUACGCUCUACACAUCGGUAAGUUUUCAGAAGGAAGGAAUGAAGCAGAGUAUAGAAAUCCUGUCUUGUUUUACUAAUUCUUAUUUUUUUUUUAAAUCUCUUUUUAGUUUCUACUGAUUGCAUUGUGAGGAUUUCUAAGGCUUGAUACAGUUUUCUUACUACUCCUUAAUAUGUUUGUAGAUACUAACACUGUAGAACUAGUUUUAUUUGUAUAAAGCAAAGCCCUUGUAUCACUUUAUUUUCAUGGAGUGUUUUGUAGCACAUCAAAGAGUCAGUUACUAGAUACAAUCAAAGUAUUUUAGCAUUAUAUAUAUAAAAAAAUCAGCAUUUAUAAAUGGCAUCGUUCUGUAUCUCUCUGUCAUGGCUUAGCCUGGCUCUCUAGCUUGCUCUUUUAAGUAAUCUCUUGCUACAAGAACAGCUGAAUUGCCAGUUUAAACUCAUACUUUAACCAAAGAAGCCAUAACUACUAAGAGCCAAUGCUACAUUACCAUGCUUGUGGACUUGACAUAGACGUUGUUUUUCAUAUGGCAGUUCCCAUCGUUUGGCACCACUAUGCCUGCCAGUUUGCUAUCAAGAGCAAGAUGAGAUGUCUGAUCUGUCAUCACCAGCAGCAAUCUCUUAGCUUCUUUUCGCCAUCCAAUAUGACUCUUAGAACAAACAUGGAAUUAGACCUUCUACAAUAACAUAGAUCUGCACUGUGGUCUUUACCUACCAGGAAACAUCACUUCGAGUGAACGAACAUUAAGUCAGGCUGGAAUGGUGUGCACGAAUUUUUUCAGAAGAAGCAUUAAUUUGUGAUUGCUUGUUCUAUUUAAUCACAGCCAUUUGUCCACACUAACUCCUGGCCAGAGAUUUCCAGUGUUCCUCUGCAGGAAGAACAAGCCAGGUUUCUUAAGUGGGGGCACCCAAGGUGGUACACUAGGCUGUUUCUGGUACCUCCUUGGAGGGUGGUCCAGGAAGAGAGAAGCCCUUUUGGAAAAAGAUUUCCCACAUGCAUAAGUUAUUCUUUCCCUUUUAUCUCUUUCUAUUUAUAUCCCUAUCCCAAUUUGGUCUCUCUGCCUCAAACACAUACCAAAAUAAAUAACAUUGGCGACUAAUAAGAGAUAGGAGAGGAAUGUAUGCUUUUAUGCUAUUCUGAAAAUCAAAGAGAAAGUAAAAAUUCUAAAUUCUUUCAGAGUUUUGCAUCUGAGCAAACACUCAAACACUUGAACGUUUUUACCUCACAGACGGCUGCCUGAAGCAUGGCGUCAAAACCUCCUUCUGGCGUAUCGAUAUUUCCAGAGAUCUUCUGUCUGUGAACUGCUUUUUCAAACUCGGUAAUGUUCUCCGUCAAAGACAGCACAUGAAUGUACCCAUGGGGAGGCAUGCAGUCUAAGUUAUAGUCACUACAAGAGAAAAGGAGAGAAGGAAAUUGCAUUUUGCUGAGCCUCCUUCAAAGUUCCAGAAUGCUAAUGGCAAUAAAGUUGAAUAGUUGGCAUGAGAAGGGAAUCUGCUCUUUUGCCAAGGACAUUUUACAAGGGGAAAAUCUGUACUUUCUAAGAUCAGAAAGAAGUUCAAUAUUGCUGAAUAUUUAUUUGCAAGUAGGAAAGUGGCAUCUAAGAAUUUGGUGUUCAAAAAAUAAAGAAGGUUAAACAUGCUUCUCCAAUACAGAACACGUAAUGGCUUUUGAUAUGCUAAUCUGCACAGUGAGUUUUCAAGAGGGAGUAAGAGUUUAUAGCGAUUCCCUAUCAUAUUUGAUCACUGAACAGCUGAUGAACACUUCUGGGGAAAUAUUUUAGGAAUUUAGUUCAAACACCAUGUUAUUGUUUGAUUUUUGAAAAAUAUUGCACCGAUUUUAAGAAUGAUGCUUGGUGUGCAAUUAUCGACGAAUGAUAAAUUUUUAAGUGUUUUGUGAAUUUCAUGAUAUUCUAAAAAGUGAGAAUCAUUCCUUUGGUGUAUUGACAUUCCAAAGAAGGCUCCUGAAGCUCCAUUAGGAGAUCAAUCAGUCUCUCUUCCAGUACAGCAGAGAGCAGAGUUGUUUUGGUAAAUUGGAAUAUACACUGUAAGGUGACCCAAGCAAUUUAUGGAAGCAGGAGAGAACAUGUUAAAAUAAAAUGUUUUAGGAAGGAAGAACUGUACACAUUUAUUUCUCUCAGAAAAUUCAGCAAGCUAGCGAUAGUAGUGUGUGAGAAACAUUUUGAGGUCAGUUUUUUCACGGUGGAACAUGUGCUAUUGAGGAUCAGACCUAAAAUGAUAAAAGCAUUCUUUCUGAACAGCCAAAUUCUCCUCCUCUGACCUCCUCUUCAUGUGGCAGCUGAACUUUCUUUGCUGUCAGGUAUAAGCAACAUACUUUUAACACAAUCACAAUAAAGUCAUGGAAAUAUAGAUGUGGUACUGACAGGAUAAAUACUUUAAAAUACAACAAAUUUGGAGCAUUCAAAAAGCAGAAAUGCAGAAUUUCUGAAGGAAUAAUGAUAUACGUGGCAAUCUCAUUACUGAUGUUUUAUACAGUUACUAAUAUUAUAGAGAAUUUUUCAAAUAAAAAUGGAAUAUUUGAAGAAAUAUAUAAUAAAAAUUCAAGCUAUAGUUUCGAGUUUUCAUAGAAACACUUCUCCCCCCAAAUGUUUUAGAUUCUAAUUUAAUAAGACAAAAACACAAAGUUUUAUGUGUUCUUUAUAUAAAACAAAAACAAAGUGAGAUAUUUUAAGAAAAAAAAAAUUGUUUAUGAGGUCUUAAAAACCUGUGAGUGGCCAUCUAAUAUACUCUACUGGUCUCACCCCUUCGGGAGCAAGGGAGAAUGAAGACUAAAGACACAAGGGAAAGAUUAGUGCGAAGGACUAAUGGACCACAACUACCGUGGCCUCCAUCAGACUGAGUCCAGUACAACUAGAUGGUGCCCGGCUACCACCACUGACUGCUCUGACGGGGAUCACAGUAGAGGGUCCCCGCCAGCGCUGGUGAAAAAUGCAGAACAAAAUUCUGAUUCACGAAAAAAGACCAGACUUACUGGCCUGACAGAGACUACAGAAAUCCCGAGAGUAUGGCCUCGGACACCAUUUUAAGUCAGUAAAGAAGUCACUCCUGAGUUUCACCCUUCAGCCAAAGAUUAAAAACAAACAAACAAACAAAAAAACCCUGUUGCCGUCGAGUCGAUUUCGACUCAUAGAUUAGAUAGGCCCAUAAAACAAAAUGAGACUAUGAGACUAAAGGGGCACACCAGCCUAAGCACAAGGACUAGAAGGCAGGAGGGCACAGGAAAGCUGAUAAUAGGUAAACCAAUGUUGAGAAGGGAGAGUGUUGACAUGCCUUGGGAUUGUUAACCAAAGAAAGAGAUAAAAGAAAAAAAAAUUUGUUUAGCAAUCUGAAAUCCACAUCAAACACUAGAUACCUGCACUGAUUAUGAAUCCUUUCUGGGUGGAUGCUAAUGUAUGGUGAAACGGUUUUAUCAACGUAUGAGCCAAAUCCAAGGCGGAAGUCAAGGGAGAAAAGUGACAUUUUUCUAGAUAAAUCAUUUCCAACAGAAUUUAAUUUUUCUAUAUUAUUGUGCAUCGAUGCUGAGACAUCAACUAGAUAAUAAAGAUCCACAGGAUAUUUCUUCAGAGGAUGAAUUUUCAACAUAAAAUUAGCUUCAGCUCCUAGUUCAAAGAAAGGAAAAAAUCAUGUAGUCUUGAUUUCAACAUCAUAAAUCAGGCACAUGUUAGCAUCUAGAAUAAUUAUCACAAAUUUACCCAUAAUGAAUGAAAUGAGGAAUAUUCUGGAAUAAUUUUAAGGCAAUUUGAAAAGCAUACCAAUUUAUUAGUCUCCAAUAUCUGCAAUGCAUUCCCCACAAUUCUGUAGAGCAGACAGUAACAGAUGGUCCAGCUCAAUAUAAACGUAACAGGGAAUCUACCUAUCUUCAUAGGAACCUGUAUUUCCCUUGGUAUCUAGAAAAGCACAGCACAAAACAGCAGGCAGCAUCUCUAUUCCAAGAGAGAAUACAUGGCUGUGUUUGUGGAACGAUUUGAGGAAAACCAGAAAGGUACCUUAGGAAAAUUACCUCUUGUUGGAUGCAGGGGUAAAUUUAUUCUUUUGGGUUAAGCCAUAUUUACAUAUCAGAUGGGAGAACUCUAGUACUGGGUAGUACAUUAAGUUAUGCAAAAUAAUUAGUACCUCACAAAUUACUUGAUAAAAUUCUUCCCAAAAAUUAGCUGGAAGAAGAAAUGAGAGUGGUUUAAAGAAUAGUACCCAGGAUCACCACACUGGGGACUUAAGGAACAUACACGAUAGCCUUUGUCCAACACAUAGUUGGUGCUCAAUAAAUAUGUUGAAGAAAGAUCACAGAAUCACUGGCUCUGGGAAAAAGAACCUCAUGAAAAGAGAGAAAUGUGGGGAAAAUCCCAAGGACAACAAUAUCUGCAAUCUAGUUUUGUUUAGCUCUGCCCAUUACUGUUACAUACAACGACCUGGGUUAUUCUCCUAGCACCCCACAUAAUUUAAAAUAUAUAGUGAAAGAGCAUCAAUUUAAAUCCAGGCAAUUUAGAAUUUUUUAGUUAUACUUUUUAAAUCAAUAAAAUAAAUGUUUUACAAGCGAUUUACUAUAUGUUCUUGGAGAAUGAGGCUUCGAGUGGAAGAAAGUUUUGUUUUGUUUUUAAAUAAACAUGAAUUUGUAUAAGCAAUUGAUAGUCUGAUCUACUUAUUAAAGACAUCCCCUAAUUUACCAAAUCAUAUAUAGGGUCGCUAUGGGUCAGAAUUGACUCGACAGCACUGGGUUUGGUUUGGUUUGGUUUUUGGUUUAUUUUCAGUCUUAAUGUGCUUAAAAGUAGCAAUAUUUUCUUUUAUGUUAUUCUACAAAUCAGAUGUUUUUCAAUCAUAUCAUCUAUCUAAUGUAUUCAAAAUAAUAAGGUUUUACAAAAUAUAUAGUAAUAAUUAUGGGAGUAUGGGGCUAUUACUCAUUCCUAAUUUACCUUUCUGUGGCAGAAACUCCAUUAGUGUAGCAUUCUUAGCUUUCUGGUCCAAAAAUUUCAAAAGAGAACCUGGGCAUGCUUAGCCUAGCCCAGCUCACUCUCUCAGCCCUUCCCUUUAGGAGCUAGGCUGCUAAAUCCUAAAUUCUGCUCUGUUUUCUGGUGUCUGAUGAGGAGACUUGCCCCUGUGUAUGUGUCCUACCAUUUGGGUAAACAUUAAUUCAGGAGACUGUUAGGAUCUGGUACACAGGCCCAGAUGAAUGAAAAAUAGAAGCAGAGUGUAAGGAGAACUGGGAUGUUGUCCAUGCAGAGAGAUGUGAACUUGAAUGUUUGUUUUGGGAUUUUGAUCUCGGCAAUGUGUAGAGACAUGCUUGAGCCAUAAGCUGUUUUUAUUUGUUGUUGUUGUUGCUUUUUUAAAAAUUGUGUAGUUGGUUCUUAACUGUUGUGACUUAGAAGACUGAUAUAGCUGACAGCCUUAAGCCGCGGUCAAACGUGCCUUUCAUCCUGGUGGGUCAUCGCAGCGACCCUGUUAAAGAUGGUGGCUUUCUCUUUUCAUAGUGUCAAAGCUAAAUGCACUGAAUAUUCAGCAUAUUGUGCAGGGGUCUUACUAAACAGGCAGUUUGGUGGCCUCAGCAAACAGGAAGAGUCUGUGUAGCAUCAACAAAGGCACAGUCUUUGGAGGCCUAAGCUAUUCAGGGAGCUCCAACCAAAUGCCAUACACAGGGGGGCCCUCAGCAGACCCUAGCAAGUAAACUCUGGUCUCCUGGCCUCAGUAAAGAAGAAGGAUGUGAGCAAGCCUUGCCAAAUGGUCAGAGUUUCAGAGUGCAAUCAUGCUGUAGCUUAAUUUUGGAUUACAUAGAUACUGGCCUUGGCAAAUGUACUGGGGCCAGUUGAAGAUUUCAGCAAAGACAGAGGUCUCAGCAAAACGAGUUUUCAGAAAAGGGAAAUAGAGAAUCUUUCAAUAUACAGGCCUUUAGUUAUUUCUGGAGAGAACAAUAAUCACUACUUUAAAGCUGCAAAGUAGCUGAGUUCCCUGGGAGAGUCUAGCUUUGAGUAGCCGGUCCUAGGGAGGUAGCUCUAGAUAGGCUGACCCCAAGUCCCGUUCUGCUUGUUAGGAAGGAAACUGAAGAGACCAAGCUUGGCCUGCCAGGGCUUGCUUGUGAGCUUGAGAAACUUCCCACAAUAUGUUUUCAAGUUGGCUUUGGAUUGGAUAAUUGUAUAUGAGGGAGAAAUCUUCUGUUGGAGGCACGUUUUUUAGGCUUAUAUUUAGUUAUAUUCAAUGACAUUGUUACAUAAACAAGGGUAAAUUUGGCCUGGAGUAUACCAUCUAAAUAUGUUUGGUUGUAAGGUAACAUGGGUUAAUAUUUAAAAUAAGCGUUCACGGUGGUACACUUAAGUCAAUGUACCAUUUUAUCCUUCACAAAAGUUAAUUAUAGCUGCUUUUGUCAUCUUGGGGAUUUUGAGUGUUGAAGAUAAAGGGCAAUGGUUAUUUACUUUAUGUUUCUGGUAUCUUUCUUUACCCAUCACAGGAAGUAAACUAAGUAAUUUGCUACAAUGGGGAAUGAAAUGGGUGAUGACUCAGUUGUUUUCCUGUUCAUGUCUUUGUUGUCAUGGUGUAAAGACUUCAUUCUUUUCAGUAGCUUUCUAUUUCUGGAGUACAGGUAAAUGAGAAGAACGUACUUGGGUGUGUGCUUAUGUGAAUAGCUUUAAAAUUACAUUAUUAUCUUACGCAUCUUAGGUCUUUUUUGUUUGUUUGUUUCUCUCUACAUUAGAGAGUCAGUUCCUAUCACUGACAUAGGUAACGACUGAUUAGGUCAACUGUGAGGAAAAUAAUUACAGCUGACUAUAGUAUUUGGCUGACAAUAACACUUCUUUCUAGAGUUUUUUCCCCCCGCUUAUGCAUGUAGAAUUUCCAACAAAAGGCAGGAUAGGGUUAAUUUUAACACUGUAACUCAAACUACUGCUGACAUCCUACAGGGUUUAAAGUUUGGGAAUCUGUUCUGACAAUUUGGUCUUCGGCCUAUUUCUUUUUUAUCAAGUAAAAUACAGCAACAUAAAACUCAUUUUAGUAUGCCACACCAUAGGACCACCGCUCAUUUGUUAGUUUGUUGUCUGUGGUGGCUUGGGUGUUACUGUGAUGCUGGAAGCUAUGCCACUGGUAUUUCAAAGACCAGCAGAGUCACCCACAGAGGUCAUCUAUCAAGGGAAUCAUGGCCGUUAUGAAAUAUAUGUGUACUCUCCCAUUCACUCUGCUGGGAACUGCUAGAGCUAUGUGAACACACCACACUUUAAUCUUGCAGAGCAUCACAGGAGACACAACGAGGCCCCACUCCUCCUGCUUAAGAAAGGCUGGAGGAAGGGCAAGGCAAGAGAGACUGGGCUGGGAAGUCAUGAACCCACACACUCAGGUUUUAGCAGAGCUUCCAGAAAAAGAAGAAGGACCUGGUGGUCUACUUCUGAAAAAAACCAGCCAGUGAAAACCUUAUGAAUAACAGCAGAACGAGGACUGAGCAGUGUUUUAUUCGGUUGUACAUAGGGUCACUAUGAGUUAGGAACUGACUCAAUGGCACCUGACAACACCAUCAUAGCAAUAUGCUCCCUUCCAUGCCAGCCUUUCUUGACUUUUGCCUGGAUUAUUUCCAGAGCCUCUUCAUUUGUCUUCUACUCCAGUCUCCUUUUCCCACAGUCACUAUCUACAUCAUUAAGUUGAUCUUUCGAAAACUCAGAAUUGCUUGUCACUCCCUGCUUAACAUUUGUCAAUAACUCUUCAUCAGAUGGCUAAUGUCCAAGUAUUUAACAUGACAGAUAAGUAUCUCCAUAAUCUUGCUUCUAUCUAUAUCUUGUAUUCCAGCACAUCAAACUUCCCUACAUAAAUUACACAAAUCCAUCCUCCUAUGCCAAGCUUAUGUCUUUUUUCUGUCUGUCGUGUCCUCUUCUUCACCUAACUACCACUUCAAGACACUGCUCAGUUAUCUGCUCCUCCCUAGACUGGGCUAAGCAUCACGCCUCUGUGUUUCCAAGGCAACUGGAUCAUAGUGAUAUUAUGGUGCUUACCACAUUAUUAUGAGAUUCCAGAUUGUGCACCUUUACCUUCCCUUAGUCACUAAAAACUACUAAAAAACAAAACAACAAACAAACAAAAUAAAAUAAACUGCCCUUGAAUUGACUCUGACCCAUAAUGACCCUAUAGGACAGAGUAGAAGUGCCCCGUAGGGUUUUAAAAGGCUGUAAAUCUUUACGGAAGCAGACUGCUGCAUCUUCCUCCCGUUGAGCUGCUGGUGGGUUCAAACCGCUGACUUGUUGGGUUAGCAGUCGAUCACUUGAACCACUGUGCCACCAGGGCUCACUUCUAAGAGCUCCUAGAUAUUUUACAAAUCUUUGUAAAAUAUUUAGCACAGUACUAGAUGUAGAGUAUGUUAGCAAUUAUUAUUGCUACUACUCAAUUCUAAGCAACUUCAGGAUAAGAAUUUUAUGUUUAUUCACCUCUGAAAGCCUCUGUAUUUUGCACAUGUAUAGUCAACUCAAUAAAUGUUUUAGAACUAAAGUACAUGUGAUAUCCAUUUUGGUACAGCAUUUCAUAAGGCCCACAUAUUUACCAAACUAGGAAGCUAACAGCUAUGUCUUCUUUCCCACAGUGUUUGUUACGAGAGCUUACACAGAAUUUCUCUAUUUAAGAGCAAAAAAAAUAUCACCUAGCCUCAGAAUGUUUAUGCUGCCACUUUGUUAUCUCCAGGAAAGCUUCAUCCCCACACCUUUUCAGAUUCUGAAGGCUAGGGUCCUUAUGUCUUUCAAUUAACCUCUAAAUGAAGAACUGAGUCCGUAACACAGACUAGCAAAGAGGCCUUGGAGGAAAUGUGAUGACCUAUGUAGAGCUAUUGCCAGUGAUUGGUUUGAAUACAUCAAAGAAUUAAGAGUUAGAAUGAGUUUGUGAACCACUCAGAUGAAGGUGUGAGCACCCCUGAUGAAUUGGCUACAAUGAAGAAAUGGUUAGAUAUUAAGAAAAGGUAACUAAAAAUUUUUCUGCAUGAGAUAAAACUGAAAAAUGAAGAAAACAUGGAAAACUGUAGGAAGAAUAAAGAGAAGUCAAUUUCUAUUCAGUAUAAUUGAGCAGGGGAAAGAGAAGGUCUGAAAUUAAGACAGCCUAGUUUUUCAAAACAGCAAGGAAUGGACUCUAGCCCACUUCUGAAUUUCUGUGGGAGAUAAAACAGAGGAUGUGUGCCUGGGGCUGAGGGAAGAAAUGUGGGGAUUUCUACUGCAGUUUUUAAAUGCUUUGAAUUAAGUAUACCUGAAAAAUCCUAAGUUUUAAAAUAUGCUGUACUAAGUUAAAGGACUUCUUUAAACUACUAAAAUAAAAUUUGAAAAUUUUCUUAAAUUAGUGAAGUAUAAAAAACGCACUGUUGUUGAGUCGAUUCCGACUCAUAGCGACCCUAUAGGACAGAGUAGAACUGCCCCAUAGAGUUUCCAAGGAGUGCCUGGUGGAUUAGAACUGCCGACCUCUUGUUUAGCAGCCAUAGCACUUAACCACUACACCACCAGGGUUUCCUAGUGAAGUAUAAAGGUUAUACUAAUUCUUCUCAUACAUGUUUUCUCUUUUGAAGCAAAGCUAGAUAAUUACCUUCUCUCCCCUACUUACUAAGGACUUAAUUUUCAGCAUUCUUGGGAAAUAUUAACUUGUAUCAGUUGUCUAUUUCUGUUAUUAUUUUUCUAUAAGAUAAAUAAGUAAAAAUAAGCAAACAAAGAUACAGUUUAGGAAGAAGUAAAAGCUAAUGUCAAUUUUUUCAAUCUCAUUUAAAAUAUUUGAUUUUAAAUAUAGUCCAGCUAAUAUUAAGCAACGUCAUGGCAAACGGAGAAAGUAUUGAAGCUGUCAAAGAUUUCAUCUUACUUGGAUCCACAAUGAAUGCUUAUGGAAGUAGCAAUCGAGAAAUCAAAUAACGCAUUGCAUUAGGCAAAUCUGGUGCAAAAGAUCUCUUUAAAGUGUUAAAAAGCAAAGAGCUCACUUUGAGGACUAAGGUGUGCCUAACCUAAGCCAUGGUAUUUUCAAUCACCUCAUAUGCAUGUGAAAACUGGACAAUGAAUAAAGAAGACCGAAGAAGAACUGAUACAUUUGAAUUAUGGAGUUGGGGAAGAAAAUUGAAUAUACCAUGGAUUGCCAGAAGAACAAACAAAUCUGUCUUGGAAGAAGUAUGGCCAGAAUGUUCUUUGGAAGCGAGAAUGGCAAGACUAUGUCUCAUGUAUUUUGGACAUGCUAUCAGGAGGGACCAGUCCCUGGAGAAGGACAUCAUUCUUGGUAAAGUAGGGGGUCAGCAAAAGAGAGGAAGACCUUCAACAGAUGGACUGACACAGUGGCUGCAACAAUGCUCAAAGAUACCAACGACUGUGAAGAUGGUGCAGGACCGGGCAGUGCUUUGUUCUGUUGUACACGGGGUAACUAUGAGUCAGAACCAACUUGAAUGCACCUAACAACAACAGCAACAUUCCUUUAAAAAUUUAGUCAGUGUUAUGAUGUAAUAAAAAAUCCACACAAAAAAAAGAAAUAAUCUUAGAUGCCACAUUUAAGGUUGUGAAUUUUUAUUGGAUAAGAAUAAAGUCAUCUUGGAUUAGUCUGAAUGAGAAAGUUGAGAUACAGUUGAGCUAUAGAUGUCUACUGGAGUCCCUGAGUAUGGCAAACAAUUAACACACUUGGCUGCUAACCAAAAGAUUGGCAGUUCGAGUCCACCCAGAGCUGCCUUGGAAGAAAGGCCUGGUGAUCUAUUUCCAAAAAAUCAGCCACAGUUCUACUCUGACACACAUGGGUUACCAUGAUUUCGAAUCCACUAGAUGGCAACUGGUUGGUAUAGGUGCAGGACUGGUUAAUGUUGAUAUAGCCUGAAAGGGGAGAUGGCCUGUCAUUAAGACCCAGGAGAAUCUUACAGAUGAACAACGGGGAAGGCCCUGGAUAAUGAUGUUAACAGGGAAAUAAAAAUGUAUAAAAAAAUGGAGAUUUUAGAACAAGUUUCUGGAGAAGAUCCAGGUAGGUUUAUCUAAAUGAUUAAAACUAGGAUAAUGAAUAUAUUAGAAUAACAGGAAGAGAAAAAAGAUCAUUAAAUAUGGUUGGGUAAACAUCUUAAAAGGGUGUAUGUGCAAGGGAAAUGUGUGUGUAAUUACAGGAAAAUCUAAGGGAAGAAUCUGGUGAACAUACUGAUUUAGAAUUAUGUGAACAAAAGCACAUAAAUUUAUGUACAAGAACUAUUUUAGGUGAAGGGAAAGACAACACAAAAUACAGGAGAGGUCAGCAUGACUGGACUAAACCAAAAGCUAAGAAGUUUCCUGAAGAAGCUGAACAGUUCGAAGGUCAGUGUAGCAGGGGUAGAUGUUUGGGGACCAUGGUUUCAGGAGACAUCUAGGUCAACUGGCAUAAUAAAAUCUAUUAAGAAAACAUUCUGCAUCCCACUUUGGAGAGUGGCGUCUGGGAUCUUAGACACUAGCAAGUGGCCAUCUAAGAUGCAUCAAUUGGUCUCAGCCCACCUGGAGCAAAGGAGAAUGAAGAACACCAAAGACACAAGGUAAUUAUGAGCCCAAGAGACAAUAAGGGCCACAUAAAUCAGAAACAACAUCAUCCUGAGACCAGAAGAACUAGAUGGUGCCCGGGUAUAAAUGAUGACUGCCCUGAAAGUGAGUACAACAGAGAACCCCUGAGGGAGCAGGAGAACAGUGGGAUGCAGACCUCAAAUUCCCGUAAAAAGACCAGACUUAAUGGUCUGACUGAGAUUAGAAGGACCCUGGGGGUCAUGGCCCCCAGACCUUCCGUUAGCCCAAGACAAGAACCAUUCCUGAAGCCAACUCUUCAGACAGGACUGGACUGGAUUAUGGGAUAGAAAAUGACACUGGUGAGAAAUGAGCUUCUCGGAUCAAGUAGACACAUGAGACUAUGUGCGCAGCUCCUGUCCGGAGAGGAGAUGAGAACACAGAGGGGGACAGAAACUAGCUGAAUAGACACGGAAAUAGAGGGUGGAGAGAAGGAGUGUGCUGUCUCAUUAGGGGGAGAGCAAUUAGGCAUAUAUAGCAAGGCAUAUAUAAAUUUUUGCAUGAGAGACUGACUUGAUUUGUAAACUUUCACUUAAGGCGCAAUAAAAAUUAAAAGAAAAAAAUUUACAUACACAGUAACCACACUGUAAUUUUUUUUUGCAACAGGAGGUGGCAAGAGCCAUAAUCUUACCAACCUAAUUACUUUCAUUUUUGUAGAACCCAUUCCAAUUCUUGCUCUUGGUGAUGGAUACAUACUGGGAUGUAUAAUCGUUUUACACAUUGAGGAUCAGUUUUAAUUGGAAGCUGGGAAGAUGCUUAGGGCCAAGAAAGAAAUGGACUUUGCUUUUCUGGUAGUCAAAGAGUCUAGAACAAAUAGCUCAGCUUUGGAAUGGGGAGGGGUAUGUGUGAAGAAUGAUUACUUAAAAUUUUAAUGACAGGACAAGACCACCCAGAAUGAUAUAACAAAGGCUUGAAUCCAAUGGCAUAAGGCUCUAAACUAAAUCCAUUUAGUUGAACGGUGCAUACCUGUGUACCUGGGCUUAUCUUGGUAUGUGUAGUUUGUACACUGGGAUUCUCUAGUAUUGUAGGAAAAUGAUUACUUUCAAGAGGCCUACAAAUGUGCCAGACCUUGGAAUACACUGUGAUGGAAGAGGAAACAAGAGAAGUAAAAGAGGAAAGGUGUGUGUUAAUCUCAGGGGACACAAAGCAGGCCAAGGUAAUUAUGAAAAUUUUGAAUUUUAAUUUUGUGCUUAAAAGUUCAUCACAAAGGCUCUAAGGAUCUCACUCAAUACAUUAAAAAAAAAAAUUUUUUUUUACCUCCUAAUAAUUAAUAAUUCAACCAAUCAAGUCAACAAAUAUUUAUGAGUGCUAACUAUGUGCCAGCACUUUGCUAGGCACUAGGGAAACAGGAUGGUAUAAAACCGGUUCCCUUUCUCCCAGAGCUGGCAGUGGAGUAGAAACACAAUUACAUUCCAAAGUAGACAGGUCUGUAAACACACAAUUACAAUGUAGUGUGGCCAGAUUUGCAGACAGUGUUCAAGUCACAGAGCUAGCCAGUGGCACACUAUUGCUGUUGUUAGCUGCUGUCAAGUCUAGGCUGACUCAUGGCAACCCCACGUGUGCAAAGUAGAACUGCUCUAUAGGGGUUUCAAGGCUGUGAUCUUUCAGAAGCAGAUAGCCAGGCCUGUUUCCUGAAAAGCCUCUGGGUGGGUUUGAACUGCCAACCUUUCGGCUAGUAGUUCAGCCCAUUACCAUUUGUGCCACCCAGGGACCUGGUGGUACCAUAAAGACUAGAAUUCUGACUGAUUGAUUCUGAGCCCACUGUUAUUUCUGCUCCAACAAUCCUGCCUGCUGCAUAAAAUUAAAUGUGAACAAAUAGAAUGAAGUAAAAUUUUGAAAGAAGAUUAUUUGAAAAUCGCCAAACCUGGAUGCAGCUGGAUUGACACUUCUCCUGGUGUCACCUGGGUAUUAAUUUCAUUUCCACUUGGUAUUACACGCACAGACGGGUAUUCUAUUGAAUCAACUGAGCAGCCUUUGCUGAUUAAAUUGGAAACAAUAUCACAACGUUCACUCCUUGAUCCACCUGUAACGAAAACCUGUUUAAAAGAAGCAAAGUCACUGACUUUCUUAGUGCAUAUUGUCUCAACUGUAGCCAAAGAAAACCAGGUUAACAAAUGUAGCAAAGAAGCCAUCUUCCAGUAUUGCACAUAUUAUGGAACUGUCCAAAAUAGCUGCAUGUGGAUUCCACUGAGAGUCCUGGAAAACCUGCCUUAAAUAUAACUUUAAAAUUUCUAAAUCUUAUUUAAAAAAGGGGGAAAUAAUUAUUAAAGAGUACAUUUAAAUCAAGCAUUUUAAAUGCUGUUAACUGAUCACUGUAAAAUUAUACCGACUUAAUUCUUUCUAAAUAUUUCACUUUGGAAAGACUGCUCCAAAAGGAAAUUUAGUCAAAAUAGACCUUUCAGUGGUCCAAAUGUGAGCCUCAGUUCUCAAAGAACCCAACUGGUAUAUUUAUUAUGGACUGUUAUGUUUGGAGCAUGAGUGUGAGUCUUUGGAAGUCACAUGCCUAAUUAAGUGCUGAAAACUCAUAAGAGUUUUCUCAGACCGAAAAAAUCCCCCGACUUCUUACAUACAGAACAGCCUGUAAAUAAUUAAAUAAUCCAAAUUAGAUACUGGUAAUAAGCAAUGGGGAGACUGCAGCUCCAAUUCUCCUCAACUUGCAAUUGAAUCUAAAAAUUUCACUAAAUUCCACAUUGGUUAGUUGAUAGUUAUCCAAUAUCUACCCGAUAAAUUUGGACCAAUGAAGCAAGCUUGAAAUUUAAUUUAUUCUGGCUGGGAAAAAAUUGGUAUUUUUAUUUGCCAUGUUAGCCUUCAGUUCUGCUCCCAAGAAAGGGAAAUUUAUUAAAAGUAUAGGCAUAUGUUUUAUUAUAUAUAAUGUUGGCCUGACUGAUUUGGGAUAUUUGUUUUCCACGUUAACUGGAGAUUUGCUUAUGAAUCUUCCUGGCAGUGGCUAUUUUGAUCUGGCAUCCAUUUAUUCCUCCUUUAGUUCAGCUGAUUCAGAGAGUUGAUUUCCAAUCAAUUAAUCAUUCCGUCAAAAUAAUGUUGAGUAAAUACUUACUCAGGGCCUAUCAUCUGUUAGGUGCUGAGGAUACAGAAUAUGGCAAGACAGGUAGAGCCUCCGUCACCAACAAGCCAAUAGAUCAUUGUGAAUUCAGACACUGAGCAAAUGAAUGUAAUUGUGAUGGGCAUUAAACUUAGGGGAAGCACAGAGAAUCAAAAGGCUAUGGAGCAAAGGGACUAUCACCUUAAGGGGACAUGAGAGCUGAAUAUGAGAUCACUGAUUAGGAACAGGGACAUCGCUGGCACCAAUAAGCAGUUAGAUAGAACGGUAGUAAGCAAUAUAAAAGCAUUCAUACAGUUUUCUCCUGUUCAGUCUGGGACAAAAAUGUAGACUGGAAUUCAAAUUCAUGGAAAAAGACCAGACUUACUGGUCUGACAAAGGCUGGAGGAAUCCCCAAGACUAUGGCCCUAAGACACUCUGCUAACUUAUAACUAAAACCACUCCCGAAGUCUACUUUUCAGACAAAGAUUAGAUAGACCUAUAAAACAAAAAAUAACAUGGGUGAGGAAUGUGCUUCUUAGUUCAAUGAAAUAUUAGAGACUAAACGGGCAAUUUGUGUCCAAAAGUAAGACAAGAAGGCAGGAGGGGGCAGGAACUGGAUGAAUGGACACAGGGAACCCAGUUGGAAAGCAGGAGCGUGCUGUCACAUUGUAGGGAUUGCAACCAAUGUCUCAUAAAAAUACAUGUGUAAAUUUUUGAAUGAGAAAUUAACUUGAGCUGUGAACUUUCACCUAAAGCACAAUAAAAAGAAAGAAAAACCCCAAAACAUUCAUACGACGAUUUUAAUUCCUCUCUCAGUUUAGAGCCAGAGUUGGCAAGCUAGGAUCAAUGAGACAAGUUCAGGCCAUGGCCUGUUUUUGUAUGGCCUGUGAGCCAAGAAUGGUUUGUACAU